RNAcentral lists this transfer RNA (74 nucleotides) under Candidatus Rokuibacteriota bacterium. RNAcentral describes it as "tRNA-Gln". It matches the Rfam family "tRNA". From Rfam's summary of the family: Transfer RNA (tRNA) molecules are approximately 80 nucleotides in length. Their secondary structure includes four short double-helical elements and three loops (D, anti-codon, and T loops). The record is from RNAcentral. Lineage: Bacteria; Candidatus Rokuibacteriota. RNAcentral also lists the same sequence under 3 other names.
UGGGGGAUCGUCUAGUGGUAGGACGCCAGGUUCUGGCCCUGGUAGCGGGGGUUCGAAUCCUCCUCCCCCAGCCA